This 492-nucleotide ribosomal RNA is filed under the name uncultured bacterium. RNAcentral describes it as "bacterial SSU rRNA". It matches the Rfam family "Bacterial small subunit ribosomal RNA", at positions 16 to 507 of the family's 1533-position model. The record is from RNAcentral.
AUCCUGGCUCAGGAUGAACGCUAGCGGCAGGCUUAACACAUGCAAGUCGAGGGGUAGGAGCAGCUUGCUGCUUUGAGACCGGCGCACGGGUGCGUAACGCGUAUACAAUCUACCUUUUACAGAGGGAUAGCCCAGAGAAAUUUGGAUUAAUACCUCAUAGUAUUUUCGAAUGGCAUCAUUUGAUUAUUAAAGUUCCAACGGUAAAAGAUGAGCAUGCGUCCCAUUAGUUAGUUGGUAAGGUAACGGCUUACCAAGACGAUGAUGGGUAGGGGUCCUGAGAGGGAGAUCCCCCACACUGGUACUGAGACACGGACCAGACUCCUACGGGAGGCAGCAGUGAGGAAUAUUGGACAAUGGGCGCAAGCCUGAUCCAGCCAUGCCGCGUGCAGGAAGAAGCAUCUAUGGUGUGUAAACUGCUUUUGUACGGGAAGAAACACUCCUACGUGUAGGAGCUUGACGGUACCGUAAGAAUAAGGAUCGGCUAACUCCGUG